GCCAUCCGGCCACCUCGUAACCUCCUAACCAUGCGUGUUGUGUUGUUGAUUUCAGUUGUUUGGUGCUAAUUGGCAGGACGUUGCAUUGGCAUGUGGCCAUAUUGACGCCGCCGCAAAGCGCAAAGCCCCGUCCAGGUGCAGCUACUAUUUACCACAGAUCCGAGGGCUCAUGGCACUCAGGUCGAUGGCGGCGGCGGCGGUGGCUACAGAGAUGCCCAGCUCUCAUCAGUGGUCUUCUCCACAUGGCAGACGUCCGCGUCGUCCUUCUCGUGAACUGAUGGGAUGCCACCGCGUCUUCAUCCAGAUCGUCGAGAUCAAUUGGACGAAGAUUAAUUGGAAAGCAUGAUGAAGAUUAAUUGGAAUGCAAGCACACGUGCAUGUGUUUCCCAGCAAAAUUAUGACUAGAUUGCAGGCGAAUUUGUUCUCCACCAAGAUCAAGGGACGACCUAUUUAAACAAACAGUCGAGGUUGUAGCGAGUUUGUUCAUGCUGAUGAUUGUGAUUGCUCUGCGUCUGAAAAGAAUAUACAUAAUGCACCAGUCAUGCAAGGAAAAUAGUUAAAAUAAUAGUUUUGGCAGCAACAAAUAAGAUGAAUACGAUCUGCUCUCACAAUGAAACAAGAGAAAAGUAGUUUCUUGCAGUCAUCGACGAGGUAAGCAGAAAGAUGAUGCAUGGGCUUGGUCUAUUUAUUCUUUUAUUUUGCUAUGUUUUACGCACAGAUUAAACUUUGCUUUACCUGAUCUAAAUUUAAUUUGUUUACCGAUGUGAGUUUGGGGAAGUUUUUCUCUUAAUGCUUCAAAUUAAUUUUGUUUAGGAUUAAUGUGAAAAUUAAAAGCAAUUUGGGAGAAAAGUGCUACUCGAUUUGAACUCUAUAAAAUUAUGUAUAGGAAACCAAAUUAAUUUUUAUAGAACUGUGUAGAAUCAAAGCAAAAAAAAAGGGUGAUCAGUAACGACAUGUAGAAUAGUUGAAAUUAUGCAAAAUGCUCAAUAUACAUAUGCGUACAUUGGCUCACUGAAUUUUUGCUAAUAGCAUCAUAUGUCAUGAUAUGUUGAAAUUCUUUAAAUACAUUUACUAUCUACUACUCCCUCCGUUUUUAAAUAUAAGUGUUUUUUAGAUAUUCCAAUAAAAACUACAUACAGGGCAAAAUGAGUGAAUCUACACUGUAAAAUAUAUCUACAUACAUCCAUAUGUAGUCUAUAUUGAAAUCUCUAGAAAGAAAUAUAUUUAGAAACGGAGGGAGUAGAUCGUGGAGCCCUCGGCUGCCCACAGGUCUUGAUGUGGUGAAGGAGGAUGCCCUAGACUAGAUGCUCACGCGGCUGGGCCUCGACAAGGAGGCCCUCCUCACACCGUUGUGUGCUCUCCUAGGCCGACAAUGCUUGUAAGCCACACGCAAACCGAGGCUGCCACAUGGUGUUGGACGGUUUGGCUUCACGACACAACCGAGGCAGAUCCUAAGUAUAAUCUUAGGCAACAAUGUUAGCAUUUUCAUGUCGCCAAAACACACAUGAUCAUUUUUAUUUUUCUUCAAUUGCUGGUUUCACUGCCAUGAUAGUGUGUCUUCCGUUGCAACGCAUGGGCAGUUUUCCUAUCUUUACCUUAAUAAUAAAGCGAAUUGGGUUUCCGCCGUCGUCGAGCGUGAUUUUGCAUAAAAGUCCCUCGGUUUACAUGAAAUUAACCCGCAGUCCUUGUUUUAGUUAGUCUGCAUAUAACGUUACAAUUUUGCAAAGAAAACCCUGUACUCAUUUGAUUUGCAUCCGCUAGCCUCGUAGUCUUAUCCAUUUCUCUGGCGAUGGCUAUGGUGACGGCGACGGCGCCCGCGCCCGCGAGCUCCUCGAGCCGCCCCGCCGCCCGCAAGCCGCGCCGCCGCACGCAGCCCGCUACCCACCGCCGGAUCCCGCCUCCCGUCGUCCGCGUCGCGCCCGCAACUGCGUGUCGUCGCUGCCUGUGCUCUGCCUCGCCGCCUCCUCGACUCCUCGAGCCGAAGCUCGCUUCCGCCGGUGGCCAGCAGCAGCACCACCAGCAGCCCGCCCCACUCCUUUCUCACCUCUCCCUCCGGUUCCCCCUGCUCAACUCCCUCCCUGGUUUCUUCUCUACAGGAGCGCCAUGGCCGCUGAUCCCAUGCCCGAGGCCUCCUCAUCCCCGUCGUCGUCUGCUUCGUCUCCCGCUGCUGCGUGCCUGGACUCCACCGCUCGCACCUCCGCCCGUGCCCAACCUCUGCUCGCCUCCUCGCCCUUGCUGUCGUUGCUCUGUUUGUCGAGAACGAGCGAGCGGGAUGCCCGUUCCGCCUCCGUGUCCUUGUGAAACUCCUGCUCCCGUGUCCUUCUCAAACAAAGAAACAGUACCGACCCGGAUUUGUAGUUCGAUGCUAUAUAUUGACUUGUUCUCUGCCGGAAUCCAGAACCAGGCCAGCGCCACCAGCGAGCAUUGCACCGUCGCUUGGGGUAAGGAUUUGCCAGUCAUAACACCAUGCUCAGCAUCAUGUCGCCUUUGAGUGCGCCGGAGGAACAGGCACCGAGUUCGCCUUUGAGUACGCCGGACGAACCGACACCAUGUUCGCCGGAAUUCUUGGUCCAGAGAAGCACUGUGAGUCCAACGGUGGCUACAACAGAGAUCCCAAAGACUGAUAGAACUCAGGUGGAGGCCAAGGAGAUUCGGCUCUCGGACAUGCCACCAGUAACACUUGAUGAUAGCAACAUGCACACUAAAACAGAUGACAUCACCGAAAUGAACAUUCGAGAGGAUUUCGAUAACCGACCUUCAAAAAAAGCAAAAAUUUCUGAAUCAGGUGUUUUGGAGACAUCACCAAUGUCACCAACUAUGUCAACAUCUAAUCCAGUUUCUGAAUGUUUUGAAUCAAUUGUGCCUGAAUUAGAUAAUCAGAUAGAUCAUGAAUCGUUGGUGAGCGUUUUGAAGGAGGAAGCAAUUAGGGUUUUCUUCGUACCGAAGCACGAGGUGUUGUGCUUGCAGAUGCACGUCAAUUCAUCCUUCCCGUUGCAACGCACGGGCAUAUGUCCUGGUAAAACAAAUAUCCAGUUGGUCGAGCACACGAUUGUGGGUGUCCAUUAUUAAUACAUUGAUCACAAUGACUUUCAAAUGUCAAA
Triticum aestivum (bread wheat) is the source of this 3101-nucleotide RNA transcript. RefSeq lists it as uncharacterized. The record is from RefSeq and is a predicted model, not a curated record. The transcript has 5 exons. Lineage: Eukaryota; Viridiplantae; Streptophyta; Magnoliopsida; Poales; Poaceae.